GUGCAGCAGGCGAGAAACUUCACAAUGUGCGAAAGCACGAUGAGGGAAUCCCAAGUGCUUGCACGUAAGUGUAAGCUGUUUCUCUGUCUAAAACGCAGAGAGAGUAAGGGCUGGGUAAGACGGGUGCCAGCCGCCGCGGUAAUACCUGCAGCUCGAGUGGUGACCGUUAUUAUUGGGCCUAAAACGUCCGUAGCCGGUUUAAUAAAUGCCUGGGUAAAUCGGACCGCUUAACGGUUCGAAUUCCGGGUAGACUGUUAAACUUGAGACCGGGAGAAGUUAGAGGUACUCCUGGGGUAGAGGUGAAAUUCUGUAAUCCUAGGGGGACCACCAGUGGCGAAGGCGUCUAACUAGAACGGGUCUGACGGUGAGGGACGAAG
Molecule: ribosomal RNA, 377 nt
Filed under: uncultured microorganism
Description: bacterial SSU rRNA
Rfam family: Archaeal small subunit ribosomal RNA
Source: RNAcentral